Molecule: ribosomal RNA, 398 nt
Filed under: Chloropicon mariensis
Lineage: Eukaryota; Viridiplantae; Chlorophyta; Chloropicophyceae; Chloropicales; Chloropicaceae
Description: partial Bacterial small subunit ribosomal RNA
Rfam family: Bacterial small subunit ribosomal RNA
Source: RNAcentral
GAAGAACACCAGUGGCGAAGGCGGCUCACUGGACUGAUACUGACGCUGAGGUGCGAAAGUGUGGGGAGCAAACAGGAUUAGAUACCCUGGUAGUCCACGCCGUAAACGAUGUCUACUAGCCGUUGGGACUCUUGAAGUCUUAGUGGCGCAGCUAACGCACUAAGUAGACCGCCUGGGGAGUACGGCCGCAAGGUUAAAACUCAAAUGAAUUGACGGGGGCCCGCACAAGCGGUGGAGCAUGUGGUUUAAUUCGACGCAACGCGAAGAACCUUACCUGGCCUUGACAUGCAGAGAACUUUCCAGAGAUGGAUUGGUGCCUUCGGGAACUCUGACACAGGUGCUGCAUGGCCGUCGUCAGCUCGUGUCGUGAGAUGGUGGGUUAAGUCCCGCAACGAGCG